AGACUUUACUAGUCCCGACUCUUUUACCGUAGUCGGGUAUAAACUUGCUUUUAUUUGUCUCUAUUUUUAAGAUUUACCCAUGAAGUUCUGUGGUGUGGAGGGGAAUGACCCACUGAAGAAGACAUACAAUCUUGGAAAAGAUCUGGGCUAACGUCUCUGAUGUCCUGCUGCAACACAUUCAUGUUGUGAUGUAAUAAAAUCACAUCCGUUGUUUUCCUGGUUGGAUUACGAACAACGAUGGAUUCUCUGCAAGUGUCCCAAUCAGGCUGGUGUUCACUCGGUGACCCACAGGUGGCAGUGUGGGACCAGCCGCCGGUUUGUGCCGCAGGUCGUCGUCAUUCACUCUGUUGCUGCUGGUGACAGAAAAACAG
This is a long non-coding RNA of Scophthalmus maximus (turbot), 371 nucleotides long. RefSeq lists it as uncharacterized. The transcript has 3 exons. Lineage: Eukaryota; Metazoa; Chordata; Actinopteri; Pleuronectiformes; Scophthalmidae. The record is from RefSeq and is a predicted model, not a curated record.